CCUCCGAUAGCUCAGUUGGUAGAGCGGUGGACUGUAGAAGAGUUGCUGAUAUCCAUAGGUCGCUGGUUCGAAUCCGGCUCGGAGGA
This 86-nucleotide transfer RNA is filed under the name Soboliphyme baturini. It matches the Rfam family "tRNA". From Rfam's summary of the family: Transfer RNA (tRNA) molecules are approximately 80 nucleotides in length. The record is from Rfam by way of RNAcentral. Lineage: Eukaryota; Metazoa; Nematoda; Enoplea; Dioctophymatida; Soboliphymatidae.